Molecule: ribosomal RNA, 766 nt
Filed under: uncultured Chytridiomycota
Lineage: Eukaryota; Fungi; Chytridiomycota
Description: eukaryotic LSU rRNA
Rfam family: 5.8S ribosomal RNA (bases 315-468)
Source: RNAcentral
CCUGCGGUUGGAUCAUUAAAAAGUUUGAAAAGGGCCUAUGUCAAAGAUGCUUUUAGUUUAGUUAAUUUUUGGCCGUUUCGUUCAUUCAUUCGUUCAUUCUGAUACUGUUUUUUCAGCAUCCUUUGACUUAGUCCCUAAUCAAAAACCAACCCUGUGUGAACUGUUUUGUCUCUGGCGGCUGGGUAGGGAUAUACUUUGUGUAGCUCUAUCUGUCAGCUUAGUCUCUUCUGAGCCGUGGACAACCCGCCAAACAAUACUGAACAAACUUAGCUAAUUUUUUCUGUCUAAUAUCUGAUUUGUAUAAAUGUACAAACAACUUUUGGCAACGGAUCUCUUGGCUCUCGCAACGAUGAAGAACGCAGCGAAAUGCGAUAAGUAGUGUGAGUUGCAGAAUUCAGUGAAUCAUCGAAUCUUUGAACGCACAUUGCGCUCCCUGGUAUUCCGGGGAGCAUGCCCGUUUCAGAAUCAUUUUAAUAUCUCACCAAGUUAUGGGUGGAAGCUCAUAACAAGGUGGAAUUUGGAUGUUUUUGUCUCUGUACAAUCAUCUUAAAGUGAUCGUAUGUGCUUGAGUGUGCUCUGGCAGUUGGGUACCAACGUGCAACAGAUUUUAUCUUUUCGCUUUGGUAUUUAAUUGAAAUCAGGUACCUGAAGUGUAUAUUUGCUGGCUUACAGAUGUUAUGCAUAAUGCAUGUAUGGCUUCUGAUAACUUGGUCUGAAAUCGGGCAAGAAAACCCGCUGAACUUAAGCAUAUCAAUAAGCGGAGGAA